Molecule: long non-coding RNA, 1021 nt
Organism: Heterocephalus glaber (naked mole-rat)
Lineage: Eukaryota; Metazoa; Chordata; Mammalia; Rodentia; Bathyergidae
Source: Ensembl
CAAGGAAACUAGAGUCCGUCACAAACAGGAAUUGCUUGAGGCCGCAGAGAGUGGGCUGACGGACUGUCACUCCCGACUCACAGGCUAAUGACCCUGCAAUCCCGGCUGCGCACAGACAGCAGCAGGGGGAUGUCUUAUCUUCCUACUGGCUGGAGACUGAGGCAAUCUCGGGCACAGUGCAGUUCGCCAGCUACUUUACCUGCACUGCCUCUUUCCCCUCCUCAGUAGUUUCUCAUGGGCGGGGACCAAGUCUUCCUUCGUUUUCCAGAGCCAUAGAUAGGAGUAGCUUUGAUACUUGUUCUCAUCGUGUGGUCCUGGGGAAGUUACUCAGCUACUUAGAGCCGUUUCUUCAGUGUCCUGACCUUUGCAGGGCUGGCCGCAAGAGAAGUCUUGAGUGAGCUGAGGAAGAAAUGAAGCAUCAGCCACGUGCACCGCAGGUCCGCGCCCUCGCAGCUCACACAGGGGCCGCUGGCCUGCGGGUGUCCACGGCGGCCAGCGGCUCCUCCAGGGCUCCUUCCGCGGCCGGGGCCCACCAGAGUCUGCAAAUGCAAGAACUUCCCACGUCCAGUUGGCUCUCAAGAACCGCGAUGCUUGGAAAAGGAUUCCAGCCCCUACAGAUGAGUCCCCGGGGCUGUGGGGCGGGGCAGGACCCUGUCCUUCACCCCGCCCGUCCUAGGCACCGCUGAGUCCUUGCAUCAGGUGGCCACAUCACCCUCAUUUUGCCGGGACGGGCUCUGUGCGCCUCACCUGUCAGAACAAACCCUGGACCCACCAUGGGGGAGGACUUUGGUUUGUCACAGCUGCUUAAGAGUGAACACAGCACGUGAUUGCUCCUUGGAGGCCUGGCCCUGGGACAGGUGUGCGCUUCAGCCACAGGAUAUCCUCCCUGUAGCCGCUGUGGUUCAGCAGCCAAAAUCAGUACUUACGUUUUCAGGAAUCGUCUUGUUGAAGAGUCAUUAUUAAAAAUCAAAUCAAAACAUUUUUUAAUCAUAUUAAAAACAAAGGUAAUAAAACAUCAAAG